RNAcentral lists this ribosomal RNA (607 nucleotides) under Bacillus subtilis. Its description in RNAcentral is "bacterial SSU rRNA". It matches the Rfam family "Bacterial small subunit ribosomal RNA", at positions 51 to 640 of the family's 1533-position model. Lineage: Bacteria; Bacillati; Bacillota; Bacilli; Caryophanales; Bacillaceae. The record is from RNAcentral.
AUACAUGCAAGUCGAGCGGACAGAUGGGAGCUUGCUCCCUGAUGUUAGCGGCGGACGGGUGAGUAACACGUGGGUAACCUGCCUGUAAGACUGGGAUAACUCCGGGAAACCGGGGCUAAUACCGGAUGGUUGUUUGAACCGCAUGGUUCAAACAUAAAAGGUGGCUUCGGCUACCACUUACAGAUGGACCCGCGGCGCAUUAGCUAGUUGGUGAGGUAACGGCUCACCAAGGCAACGAUGCGUAGCCGACCUGAGAGGGUGAUCGGCCACACUGGGACUGAGACACGGCCCAGACUCCUACGGGAGGCAGCAGUAGGGAAUCUUCCGCAAUGGACGAAAGUCUGACGGAGCAACGCCGCGUGAGUGAUGAAGGUUUUCGGAUCGUAAAGCUCUGUUGUUAGGGAAGAACAAGUACCGUUCGAAUAGGGCGGUACCUUGACGGUACCUAACCAGAAAGCCCCGGCUAACUACGUGCCACCAGCCGCGGUAAUACGUAGGUGGCAAGCGUUGUCCGGAAUUAUUGGGCGUAAAGGGCUCGCAGGCGGUUUCUUAAGUCUGAGGUGAAAGCCCCCGGCUCAACCGGGAAGGCUCAUUGGAAACUGGGGAA